AGAGUUUGAUCCUGGCUCAGAACGAACACUGGCGGCGUGGAUUAGGCAUGCAAGUCGAGCGGGAUCCUGGUGCUUCAAUUCUUCGGAAAAGAAGUAUCGGGUGAGAGCGGCGAACGGGUGAGUAAUGUAUGGGUAAUUUGCCUUAAAGCCCGGGAUAGCUACUCGAAAGGGUAGGUAAUACCGGAUGUGCUCGGGUGCCGCAUGGCACCUUAUGUGAAGGCGGGGAUCUUCGGACCUGCCACUUUAAGAUGAGCCCAUAUCCUAUCAGCUAGUUGGUAAGGUAACGGCUUACCAAGGCUUACGGGUAGCUGGUCUGAGAGGACGACCAGCCACACUGGGACUGAGACACGGCCCAGACUCCUACGGGAGGCAGCAGUGGGGAAUAUUGGACAAUGGGGGAAACCCUGAUCCAGCAAUGCCGUGUGUGUGAAGAAGGCCUGCGGGUUGUAAAGCACUUUAAGUUGGGAAGAAAAGCAAUUGGUUAAUACCCAAUUGUAUUGACGUUACCGACAGAAUAAGCACCGGCUAACUCUGUGCCAGCAGCCGCGGUAAUACAGAGGGUGCGAGCGUUAAUCGGAAUUACUGGGCGUAAAGGGUGCGUAGGCGGUCUUUUAAGUCGGAUGUGAAAUCCCUGGGCUUAACCUAGGAAUUGCAUACGAUACUGCAAGACUUGAGUACAGUAGAGGAUAGUGGAAUUCCACGUGUAGCGGUGAAAUGCGUAGAUAUGUGGAGGAACACCAGUGGCGAAGGCGGCUAUCUGGACUGAUACUGACGCUGAGGCACGAAAGCGUGGGGAGCAAACAGGAUUAGAUACCCUGGUAGUCCACGCCCUAAACGAUGGGAACUAGCUGUUGGGAGAAAUUAAUCUCUUAGUAGCGAAGCUAACGCGUUAAGUUCCCCGCCUGGGGAGUACGGUCGCAAGAUUAAAACUCAAAUGAAUUGACGGGGGCCCGCACAAGCGGUGGAGCAUGUGGUUUAAUUCGAUGCAACGCGAAGAACCUUACCUGGUCUUGACAUCCUGCGAAUCCUGUAGAAAUAUGGGAGUGCCUUCGGGAACGCAGAGACAGGUGCUGCAUGGCUGUCGUCAGCUCGUGUCGUGAGAUGUUGGGUUAAGUCCCGCAACGAGCGCAACCCCUAUCCUUAGUUGCCAGCGGGUAAUGCCGGGAACUCUAAGGAGACUGCAGCUGACAAAGCUGAGGAAGGCGGGGAUGACGUCAAGUCAUCAUGGCCCUUACGACCAGGGCUACACACGUGCUACAAUGGUAGAUACAGAGGGAUGCCAAACUGCGAAGUGGAGCAAAUCUCAGAAAAUCUAUCGUAGUCCGGAUUGGAGUCUGCAACUCGACUCCAUGAAGUCGGGAUCGCUAGUAAUCGCGAAUCAGAACGUCGCGGUGAAUACGUUCCCGGGCCUUGUACACACCGCCCGUCACACCAUGGGAGUUGGUUGUACCAGAAGUAGAUAGCCUAACCGAAAGGAGGGCGUUUACCACGGUAUGGUCAAUGACUGGGGUGAAGUCGUAACAAGGUAACC
This 1531-nucleotide ribosomal RNA is filed under the name uncultured bacterium. RNAcentral's name for it is "bacterial SSU rRNA". It matches the Rfam family "Bacterial small subunit ribosomal RNA". The record is from RNAcentral.